Non-coding RNA from Nicotiana tabacum (common tobacco), 1016 nucleotides. Lineage: Eukaryota; Viridiplantae; Streptophyta; Magnoliopsida; Solanales; Solanaceae. The record is from RefSeq and is a predicted model, not a curated record.
CCCUGCACUUCUGUCGGAAAAAAGGGGGAAAAAAGAGUAACAUGCAUGCUUACUUUACAAGAGAGCUAUCUAGAAGAUUAGCUUCACAUAGGCAGUGAAUAUAACUCUUGAUAUAAACAUCCUCAAGUAUGGCUUUCCCUAACUACUUCCCCAGUUAUAUUUAUUGAUUAAACUAAUUUAUAUACCCUGGAUGCUGGCUUUGAAAACUGGAAGAAGUGUUUUCUCUCUCUUCGUCCCUUGCUUCAAAAAGGACUUUAGGUAUUUGUGACCAAAUAUGUUUGUACCAAUGAUUAUCAUUACUAAUGAGUGUGGGAUACUAAGCAUAAGUACGUCUUGAAUUAGUCCUUGCUUGCAACAGAUGGUACUAAAAAAUCUGAUACUUGCAGGCAAGUGGUUAUUAUCUUUCACUCACAAAUUUCAGAAGCAUUCUCACGAUUGGAUAUUAGCAGUCAACAAGCUAGACAAAGAACGUAUCGUGAUGUUCAGCAUCUGCUUGGAUGUAUCAGAUCAUUGCCUUCUGAUAGUAAAUCCAAUCCUCCUAAUUGGGGGCAACUUGAUGAGUUUCUGGCACAAAAUUUCUGUGCGGAAGCAAGUCAAUAGAUUCUUUGUAAAGUAGUCUACAUCUCAAAAACAUUGGAUAAGCGUGAUUGGAGCAAUCAAGAGGACACCUGAAGACUAUGCAUCAAUAUUGUACAAUUAAUUUGAAGAUGCGCGGUCUUCUAACUGGAUGUCUUAUUACCAAAUGGAGUUUUGAGGGGAGAAAGAGUCCUUAACAGCAAAUUUGGAGCUGUCAUACACAGUUUAUGAUUUGUCAGAUGAAUCGUUUUUUUUUUAAUGAUUGUAUUCUUUUGGCCUGGACAGUAGAUUUUUUCUUAUCUUGAUUUAGGAGAAAAGAAAGAGACAUGAGCUGACAGUGGAAGCUGAAUAAUUUUCACAGAGUGCAGUUGUAGUGUAUACUAGUGAAAGUAAUUGUAUGUAUCGGUUCCUUGCUUAAUUCAAGCAUGUUUUCUCCUGAU